AGAGACUUAGGAUAGAACCUUUAGACCAAGAGCCUUCAAAGCUCUAAGCAGGAGUGAAAAUCUCCUAGUCUCUG
This 74-nucleotide transfer RNA is filed under the name Piaractus brachypomus (pirapitinga). RNAcentral's name for it is "tRNA-Trp". It matches the Rfam family "tRNA". From Rfam's summary of the family: Transfer RNA (tRNA) molecules are approximately 80 nucleotides in length. Their secondary structure includes four short double-helical elements and three loops (D, anti-codon, and T loops). Further hydrogen bonds mediate the characteristic L-shaped molecular structure. tRNAs have two regions of fundamental functional importance: the anti-codon, which is responsible for specific mRNA codon recognition, and the 3' end, to which the tRNAs corresponding amino acid is attached (by aminoacyl-tRNA synthetases). tRNAs cope with the degeneracy of the genetic code in two manners: having more than one tRNA (with a specific anti-codon) for a particular amino acid; and 'wobble' base-pairing, i.e. permitting non-standard base-pairing at the 3rd anti-codon position. Lineage: Eukaryota; Metazoa; Chordata; Actinopteri; Characiformes; Serrasalmidae. The record is from RNAcentral.